GACGAACGCUGGCGGCGUGCUUAACACAUGCAAGUCGAACGGUGUGGCGAACGGGUGAGUAACAAGUGGGUGACCUGCCUUGCACUCCGGGAUAAGCAUGGGAAAAUGGGUACAAUACCGGAGAGUGGGGGCUGGGCCAGCGGCCGAUCAGCUUGUAGGGGGGGUAACGGCGUACGAAGGAGGGGAGGGGUAGCCGCCCUGAGGGGGUGGCAGGCCACAUUGUGACUGGGAAGCGGCCCGGAGUGAUACGGGCGGCAUCGAUGGAAAAUAGUGGGCGAUAGGCGGAGGCCUUAUGGAGCGACUCCGGGUGGGGGAUGACGGCCUUCCGGUUGUAAACUCCUUUCACCAUCUACGCGGUAGAUGAAGAAUAAGCACCGGCUAACUACGUGCCAGCAGCCGCGGUAAUUC
RNAcentral lists this ribosomal RNA (408 nucleotides) under uncultured bacterium. RNAcentral's name for it is "partial 16S ribosomal RNA". It matches the Rfam family "Bacterial small subunit ribosomal RNA", at positions 28 to 526 of the family's 1533-position model. The record is from RNAcentral.